ACUCCUACGGGAGGCAGCAGUGGGGAAUUUUGGACAAUGGGCGAAAGCCUGAUCCAGCAAUGCCGCGUGUGUGAAGAAGGCCUUCGGGUUGUAAAGCACUUUUGUCCGGAAAGAAAUCCUUGGCUCUAAUACAGUCGGGGGAUGACGGUACCGGAAGAAUAAGCACCGGCUAACUACGUGCCAGCAGCCGCGGUAAUACGUAGGGUGCGAGCGUUAAUCGGAAUUACUGGGCGUAAAGCGUGCGCAGGCGGUUUGCUAAGACCGAUGUGAAAUCCCCGGGCUCAACCUGGGAACUGCAUUGGUGACUGGCAGGCUAGAGUAUGGCAGAGGGGGGUAGAAUUCCACGUGUAGCAGUGAAAUGCGUAGAGAUGUGGAGGAAUACCGAUGGCGAAGGCAGCCCCCUGGGCCAAUACUGACGCUCAUGCACGAAAGCGUGGGGAGCAAACAGGAUUAGAUACCCGUGUAGUCC
This 469-nucleotide ribosomal RNA is filed under the name uncultured organism. RNAcentral's name for it is "partial 16S ribosomal RNA". It matches the Rfam family "Bacterial small subunit ribosomal RNA", at positions 335 to 796 of the family's 1533-position model. The record is from RNAcentral.